UAGUACGCUUUGGAANCUGUUUAACUUGAGUGCAGAAGGGGAGAGUGGAAUUCCAUGUGUAGCGGUGAAAUGCGUAGAUAUAUGGAGGAACNCCGGUGGCGAAAGCGGCUCUCUGGUCUGUAACUGACGCUGAGGCUNGAAAGCGUGGGGAGCAAACAGGAUUAGAUACCNUGGUAGUCCACGCCGUAAACGAUGAGUGCUAGGUGUUGGGUCCUUUCCGGGACUCAGUGCCGCAGCUAACGCAUUAAGCACUCCGCCUGGGGAGUACGACCGCAAGGUUGAAACUCAAAGGAAUUGACGGGGGCCCGCACAAGCGGUGGAGCAUGUGGUUUAAUUCGAAGCAACGCGAAGAACCUUACCAGGUCUUGACAUCCCGGUGCCCGUCCUAGAGAUAGGAUUUUGCUUCGGCACACCGGUGACAGGUGGUGCAUGGUUGUCGUCAGCUCGUGUCGUGAGAUGUUGGGUUAAGUCCCGCAACGAGCGCAACCCUUAUUGUUAGUUGCCAUCAUUUAGUUGGGCACUCUAGCGAGACUGCCGGUAAUAAACCGGAGGAAGGUGGGGAUGACGUCAAAUCAUCAUGCCCCUUAUGACCUGGGCUACACACGUGCUACAAUGGCUGGUACAACGAGUCGCAAGUCGGUGACGGCAAGCUAAUCUCUUAAAGCCAGUCUCAAUUCGGAUUGUAGGCUGCAACUCGCCUACAUGAAGUCGGAAUCGCUAGUAAUCGCGGAUCAGCACGCCGCGGUGAAUACGUUCCCGGGCCUUGUACACACCGCCCGUCAC
This 783-nucleotide ribosomal RNA is filed under the name uncultured bacterium. Its description in RNAcentral is "bacterial SSU rRNA". It matches the Rfam family "Bacterial small subunit ribosomal RNA", at positions 617 to 1400 of the family's 1533-position model. The record is from RNAcentral.